This 85-nucleotide transfer RNA is filed under the name Felis catus (domestic cat). It matches the Rfam family "tRNA". Rfam says of the family: Transfer RNA (tRNA) molecules are approximately 80 nucleotides in length. Lineage: Eukaryota; Metazoa; Chordata; Mammalia; Carnivora; Felidae. RNAcentral also lists the same sequence under 2 other names. The record is from Rfam by way of RNAcentral.
GCCUGGGUGGCUCAGUUGGUUAAGCAUCUGACUUCAGCUCAGGUCAUGAUCUCAUGGUUUGUGGGUUUGAGCCCCACAUCAGGCU